CCUACGGGUGGCAGCAGUGAGGAAUAUUGGUCAAUGGGCGCGAGCCUGAACCAGCCAAGUAGCGUGAAGGAUGACUGCCCUACGGGUUGUAAACUUCUUUUAUAAAGGAAGAAUAUUGACUACGUGUAGUCAGAUGCCCGUACCUUAUGAAUAAGCAUCGGCUAACUCCGUGCCAGCAGCCGCGGUAAUACGGAGGAUCCGAGCGUUAUCCGGAUUUAUUGGGUUUAAAGGGUGCGUAGGCGGUAUUUUAAGUUAGUGGUAAAACGUCGGGGCUUCACCUUGAUUGGCCUUUAAAACUGGAGUACUAGAGUACAGACGAGGUAGGCGGAAUAAGUUAAGUAGCGGUGAAAUGCUUAGAUAUAACUUAGAACCCCGAUAGCGAAGGCAGCUUACCAGACUGUGGCUGACGCUGAAGCACGAGAGCGUGGGUAGCGAACAGGAUUAGAUACCCGUGUAGUC
RNAcentral lists this ribosomal RNA (459 nucleotides) under uncultured bacterium. RNAcentral describes it as "partial 16S ribosomal RNA". It matches the Rfam family "Bacterial small subunit ribosomal RNA", at positions 338 to 795 of the family's 1533-position model. The record is from RNAcentral.